This is a long non-coding RNA of Contarinia nasturtii (swede midge), 1058 nucleotides long. RefSeq lists it as uncharacterized. The transcript is spliced from 3 exons. The record is from RefSeq and is a predicted model, not a curated record. Lineage: Eukaryota; Metazoa; Arthropoda; Insecta; Diptera; Cecidomyiidae.
GACUUUGUAAAUGGAUUUUUGUUAUUGUGAAUAUACGAGCGCCAUCUGUUAGAUGCAACACAACACAUUUGGGACAGAUUAGUUUGAUUUGGGAAUUCCUAUAAGAGACCACGGCUAUGGGAAUAUCACGAUAUUGUGCUGCCAUGGAUUGCAAAGAAGAGAUCGAGUCGACAAAAAUCUGUGAGCUGGCGUCACUUUUGUUUUUACAGAAAGUGAAAGUUGCCAAUGAAGAGACCAUUUUGACCAACAACUGGAAUUUUUUCUAUGGGAAAGUCAUUGUGGACUCUUCGGAUUUGAGCUGCAUCGUAACUUCACCGUUGAACGCCUCGUCUGUGCAAGAUGGAUUCGAAUCCACUAACGAGAUAGAAUUAGGAUCGAUGAAUUUAACAUUUGAAACUAACUAAUGUAAUAGCAUAUUACAUGUAGCUGGGUCGAUUCGGUGACCCAGAUUUUAUCGAUAGAAUUUAGAGGAAAGAAUAUGUGUAGGUUGUUGGUAUCUAUUCUAUUUGAUGUUCGUAGAAAAGGUAUUGAAUCCCUAUGCCAAUAUUUUAGUCCUUCGAUAAUAGUUCAUGGAUAGAUAGAGUACAUUCGGGAAGAGUUUUCAUUAUAUGAACUACUGUACAGACCGUCAUGAAUCUUGUGAACAAUGACUUUAAUAACCGUGUUAGUUUGAAAGAAAAAAAAUUAUACAAACCGUUAUGUCCUUUAUAAAACCAUUGAUACUCGUUUUGAUCCAAAUUACUUGUUGACGGCAUUGAGCUAAAUAAUAGUUCCGGAUGUUCAAGAAACUCACUGGGAAAUUCUGUACGACACAUUGCGCAUCGUCGAUUUUUGAGGCCCUAAUUGAUAAAAUAUCUAAUUAUUAAUAGUUACUAUUAACUACUUCCAAUGAAUAUUAUAAAAGACAAAAAAUAAUAGAUUUAGACGUUAAAAUCAAUACAGUUUGAAGACUAUUUGAAACAAAUUAUUCAAAAUGUAACCAUUUAAUUAAACCACCAGGCGAAGGUACGCCAAUACUAUUAAUCUUUUUCUUUAGAAUUAAAUAAAAUAAAAGUAAA